Macaca mulatta (Rhesus monkey) is the source of this 254-nucleotide non-coding RNA. The record is from RefSeq and is a predicted model, not a curated record. NCBI's taxonomy places the organism in Eukaryota, Metazoa, Chordata, Mammalia, Primates, Cercopithecidae.
AAAACUUACUGUAAUUGUGAUAUAAUUAGUUCUUUAUUUUGCAGCUGAUAAUAAAGUGAAGAAGAAGAAAGGAAUAAAAGAUAGUGCACCCAUAGGAGGGAAGAUUGAUGUCAGUAAUGUGGAUGCUAUUUUGAAAAACAUGGAUAUAAAACUUACAGAAGAAGAACAACAAUAUCUACUAGACCACCUGUCAGCUACUGCUGAUGAAGAUAUGGAUAUGAAUACAUUGACAGGGGUUGUGAAGAUGCUUAAAG